GGAGAGAUGGCUCAGCGGUUAAGCGCACUGACUGCUCUUCCAGAGGUCCUGAGUUCAAAUCCCAGCAACCACA
RNAcentral lists this transfer RNA (73 nucleotides) under Mus musculus (house mouse). RNAcentral's name for it is "tRNA-Ser". Lineage: Eukaryota; Metazoa; Chordata; Mammalia; Rodentia; Muridae. The record is from RNAcentral.